Molecule: ribosomal RNA, 482 nt
Filed under: uncultured bacterium
Lineage: Bacteria
Description: partial 16S ribosomal RNA
Rfam family: Bacterial small subunit ribosomal RNA
Source: RNAcentral
GAUGAACGCUAGCGGCAGGCCUAAUACAUGCAAGUCGAACGAGAUUAAGAGGCUUGCUUCUUAUGAAAGUGGCGCACGGGUGCGUAACGCGUAUGCAACCUACCUUAAUCAGGGGGAUAGCCCGAAGAAAUUCGGAUUAAGACCGCAUAAAAACACAGGAUAGCAUUAUCCAAUGUUCAAAUAUUUAUAGGAUUAAGAUGGGCAUGCGUGUCAUUAGCUAGUUGGCGGGGUAACGGCCCACCAAGGCGACGAUGACUAGGGGAUCUGAGAGGAUGACCCCCCACACUGGUACUGAGACAAGGACCAGACGCCGACGGGAGGAAGCAGUAAGGAAUAUUGGUCAAUGGAGGGAACUCUGAACCAGCCAUGCCGCGUGCAGGAAGACAGCCCUCGGGGUCGUAAACUGCUUUUAUUCGGGAAUAAACCUUUCUACGUGUAGGAAGCUGAAUGUACCGAAGGAAUAAGGAUCGGCUAACUCCGUG